GAUCCUGGCUUAGGAUGAACGCUGGCGGCGUGCUUAACACAUGCAAGUCGAACGGACUUAUGGAUUGGAGGCUUCGGCCAAAGAUCUUAAGUUAGUGGCGGACGGGUGAGUAACGCGUGGAGAACCUGCCCCAUGCAGGGGGAUAACAGUGAGAAAUCACUGCUAAUACCGCAUAAGCGCACGAGGCCGCAUGGCCCUGUGUGAAAAACUCCGGUGGCAUGGGAUGGCUCCGCGUUGGAUUAGCCAGUUGGCGGGGUAACGGCCCACCAAAGCAUCGAUCCAUAGCCGGCCUGAGAGGGUGAACGGCCGCAUUGGGACUGAGACACGGCCCAGACUCCUACGGGAGGCAGCAGUGGGGAAUAUUGCACAAUGGGGGAAACCCUGAAUGCAGCGACGCCGCGUGAAGGAAGAAGUAUCUCGGUAUGUAAACUUCUAUCGACAGGGAAGAUAAUGACGGUACCUGAAUAAGAAGCCCCGGCUAACUACGUGCCAGCCGCCGC
This 500-nucleotide ribosomal RNA is filed under the name uncultured bacterium. Its description in RNAcentral is "bacterial SSU rRNA". It matches the Rfam family "Bacterial small subunit ribosomal RNA", at positions 15 to 518 of the family's 1533-position model. The record is from RNAcentral.